RNAcentral lists this ribosomal RNA (495 nucleotides) under uncultured bacterium. RNAcentral's name for it is "partial 16S ribosomal RNA". It matches the Rfam family "Bacterial small subunit ribosomal RNA", at positions 30 to 507 of the family's 1533-position model. The record is from RNAcentral.
UGAACGCUGGCGGCGUGCCUACUACAUGCAAGUCGAGCGAACAGACGAGGAGCUUGCUCCUCUGACGUUAGCGGCGGACGGGUGAGUAACACGUGGAUAACCUACCUAUAAGACUGGGAUAACUUCGGGAAACCGGAGCUAAUACCGGAUAAUAUAUUGAACCGCAUGGUUCAAUAGUGAAAGACGGUUUUGCUGUCACUUAUAGAUGGAUCCGCGCCGCAUUAGCUAGUUGGUAAGGUAACGGCUUACCAAGGCAGCGAUGCGUAGCCGACCUGAGAGGGUGAUCGGCCACACUGGAACUGAGACACGGUCCAGACUCCUACGGGAGGCAGCAGUAGGGAAUCUUCCGCAAUGGGCGAAAGCCUGACGGAGCAACGCCGCGUGAGUGAUGAAGGUCUUCGGAUCGUAAAACUCUGUUAUUAGGGAAGAACAAAUGUGUAAGUAACUAUGCACGUCUUGACGGUACCUAAUCAGAAAGCCACGGCUAACUACGUG